CUGAAACCGCGGAUGGCUCAUUAUAACAGCUAUGAUUUGAGAGAUAUAAUCUAUUUGCCAUAAGAUAACUGUGGUAAUUCUAGAGCUAAUAUUUUAAAGAAUGCCGUGACUAACGAAGCGGUGGAUUUAUUAGAUCAAAACUAACCUGUCGCAAGACAGAAAUUUGAUGACUCUGGAUAACUUAACUGAUCGUACAACUGUUGUUGACGACGAAUCUCUUGAAAUGGCUGACCUAUCAACUUUCGAUGGUAAGAUCAAAGCUUACCAUGGUUGUAACGGGUAACGGGGAAUCAGUGUUCGAUUCCGGAGAGGGAGCCUGAGAAACGGCUACCACAUCCACGGAAGGCAGCAGGCGCGAAAAUUACCCAAUACCGGUUCGGUGAGGUAGUGACAAUAAAUAACAAUAUGGACCCUAGUGGUUUCAUAAUUGCAAUGAGAAUAUUUUAAAUACUUUAUCAAGUAUCAAUUGGAGGGCAAGUCUGGUGCCAGCAGCCGCGGUAAUUCCAGCUCCAAAAGCGUAUAUUAAAUUUGUUGCAGUUAAAAAGCUCGUAGUUGAAAUUGAGGAACUAUUCAUUAAGCGGUCUUUGAUUGCAUUUUGGAUUUUCCUUUCCGUCGUGUAUAUUGAUUAAUCACUUUAUUGGGAUUUUUUAAUAACCGACAAGUUUACUUUGAAAAAAUUAGAGUGCUUAAAGCAGGCUUUUGCUUGUAUAUUGUUGCAUGGAAUAAUGAAAUAAGACUUCGGUUUUAUUUUGUUGGUUUUCGAAACUGAAGUAAUGAUUAAAAGAGACUGCCGGGGGCAUAUGUAUGCUGGUGCUAGAGGUGAAAUUCUGAGACCAUCAGCAGACAAUCUACUGCGAAAGCAUUUGCCAAGAAUGUUUUCAUUAAUCAAGAACGAAAGUCAGAGGAUCGAAGACGAUCAGAUACCGUCCUAGUUCUGACCAUAAACUAUGCCAACUGACAGUUAGCGAUGAUAUUUUAUCAUCUUGCUAGAAGUCACCGGGAAACCAAAGUCUUUGGGUUCCGGGGGAAGUAUGGUUGCAAAGCUGAAACUUAAAGGAAUUGACGGAAGGGCACCACCAGGAGUGGAGCCUGCGGCUUAAUUUGACUCAACACGGGAAAUCUCACCCGGUCCGGACACUGUGAGGAUUGACAGAUUGAUAGCUCUUUCUUGAUUCGGUGGGUGGUGGUGCAUGGCCGUUCUUAGUUGGUGGAGCGAUUUGUCAGGUUAAUUCCGAUAACGAACGAGACUCUGACUUACUAAAUAGUGGAUUUAUUUUAACUCGUAAAUAAUCAC
Molecule: ribosomal RNA, 1294 nt
Filed under: Dugesia subtentaculata
Lineage: Eukaryota; Metazoa; Platyhelminthes; Tricladida; Dugesiidae
Description: SSU rRNA
Rfam family: Eukaryotic small subunit ribosomal RNA
Source: RNAcentral